This 491-nucleotide ribosomal RNA is filed under the name uncultured bacterium. RNAcentral's name for it is "partial 16S ribosomal RNA". It matches the Rfam family "Bacterial small subunit ribosomal RNA", at positions 29 to 507 of the family's 1533-position model. The record is from RNAcentral.
AUGAACGCUGGCUACAGGCUUAACACAUGCAAGUCGAGGGGAAACGGCAUUGAGUGCUUGCACUGAAUGGACGUCGACCGGCGCACGGGUGAGUAACGCGUAUCCAACCUUCCCGUUACUGCGGGAUAACCUGCCGAAAGGCAGACUAAUACCGCAUGUUCUUCGAUGACGGCAUCAGAUUCGAAGCAAAGAUCCGUCGGUAACGGAGGGGGAUGCGUCUGAUUAGCUAGUUGGCGGGGCGACGGCCCACCAAGGCGACGAUCAGUAGGGGUUCUGAGAGGAAGGUCCCCGACAUUGGAACUGAGACACGGUCCAAACUCCUACGGGAGGCAGCAGUGAGGAAUAGUGGUCAAUGGGCGGAAGCCUGAACCAGCCAAGUAGCGUGCAGGAUGACGGCCCUACGGGUUGUAAACUGCUUUUAUGCGGGGAUAAAGUGAGGGACGCGUCCCUUUUUGCAGGUACCGCAUGAAUAAGGACCGGCUAAUUCCGUG